AGAGAGAGACAUGCGCGCAUAUCAAUAAGCGGAGGAAAAGAAACUAACAAGGAUUCCCUUAGUAACGGCGAGUGAAGCGGGAAGAGCUCAAAUUUGAAAUCUUCAAGGUUCUACCUUGACGAAUUGUAGUUUAUAGAAGUGUUUUCUGUUAGUGGAGUGGCAAAAGUUCUUUGGAAUAGGACAUCAUAGAGGGUGAGAAUCCCGUAUUUGGUCAUUCCUCCUAGCGUUGUGAUACACUUUCAACGAGUCGGAUUGUUUGGGAAUGCAGUCCAAAAUGGGUGGUAAAUUUCAUCUAAAGCUAAAUAUUGGCGAGAGACCGAUAGCGAACAAGUACCGUGAGGGAAAGAUGAAAGGAACUUUGAAAAGAGAGUUAAACAGUACGUGAAAUUGUCAAAAGGGAAGCGUUUGACACCAGUGUUGUUUUCUCGAAAAUCAAUUAAGAAGAUUUUGAUUUUGAGGUUGUAUUGACUUUAUCAGGCUUCAGCCUCCUUUUCUUACGUAACUUUUUAAUGCACUUUUCGGUUAACAAGUCAACAUCAAUUUCUUUUGUUGUAAAAGGGUCAUUGAGGAAGGUGGCUUUCUUUUCGGAGAAAGUGUUUAUAGCCUUGUGCCUCUGCAAUCGGAGAGAUUGAGGUCUGCCGCGUAGAUCCUUCGGGGUUAGAUACAGUUUGUGCUAAGUUAUAGCUUUUCAUAGACAACUUGUUGACUAUGUUUAGUCUUGUAGCUUACUCGCUGAUGCUAUUUUACCUACGCUUAGGAUGUUGAUAGUCACAGCGUGUAC
Molecule: ribosomal RNA, 781 nt
Filed under: uncultured Neocallimastigales
Lineage: Eukaryota; Fungi; Neocallimastigomycota; Neocallimastigomycetes; Neocallimastigales
Description: partial large subunit ribosomal RNA
Rfam family: Eukaryotic large subunit ribosomal RNA
Source: RNAcentral